ACAAAUGUCAAUGUAGUUCAAAUGUCAAUGUAGUUCAAAUUCAAUAUAGAGAUGGCUCUAACUAAUAAUUCUUAUAUAUCACUUUCUCCAUUUUAAUUGAGUGAUUUUCAAGAUCUUUUACACAAAUUAAGUGAAAAAUGCAAUAAAAUAACCUUUUUUCUUAUAACUAUAACAACACCUUUUUGUUUUUGAAGCAUAGCAACAUUCAUGUUAAAAUAGAGUAUAAAACAGUAAAUGUGUAUUUUUUUUAUAAGUAGUCUAAUGACUGAAAUUAAAGAUAAACAAGUGAAACAUCAUGGGUUCGAACCUGCCCUCCGAACCUGCACUCCUGCACCUUAUGUCCCUACACAACCACACAUGAUAAAUGUGCUUACAUGAAGAUAAGGAGGUGUUAUUAAAAAGAAUGCACAAUUUAAUUGGUUUGCAAAGCUUUAAUAUAAUGAGUUGAGUCAUGUGCCAUUUAAAUUAUUAAAAAAAAAAAGUUAUCUUUGUCUUUGUGAAAUUGUGAGGAAACUAGCCAUGUGUAGUUUUAGUGAAUGAAAAUAAAGCCAAGAGGGUAAAGGUUCUGGAAUUUUGAUUCAUUGCAGAGUCAUUAUGAAUUCAAUGGAGUAUCUACCUGCAACAAAAUUACGAAAUACAUAAAUAAGUCAGAAUAUAUAUCAAUUAGCAAAGACAAUUUUAUGAUCAAGAUAAACAGAUAUCCAAUUUCUAAAUAGUAUAAGCGGAUAGGAAAACUUUGCUUAUUCGACGAAUUAUAUGAAACAAUCUUUGGUGAUGCCUUGUUAGUUAUUGGUUUCUCCUCUUUACUCAAACUAGUUUCAAGUAUCAGGUCCAAAAAAGUUAUUUAUAUCUAUUGCUUAAAAUUCUGUCUUUCCUACUAAACUUAUUUUAUUUUGUUCAUGAACAUUAGUUCCCACACAAUGUCCAUUGAUUUUGUUGAACUGAACUCAUUUGAUGCAGCUGCUGCGCCUGUGACGAAGAAUGGGAACAGCAAUAGGACACUGACGUCACAGAAGAAAAAUACUGCUUCAGAUAGAUCCUUCAAACUCUAAACAUAAGGCAACUUUCCGGUGAGAAGCUCAAGUUACACUAUUCCAUGAUUAGAGAUGUCAAUCUUUAUAUCGACCUUAAAUGGCAUAUACGUUCUGCCGAAUAGAAAAUGACAUCUCUUCACAAAUAUCACUCAAGGCAGUCUGUCUUCCAUAGUAAUCAUCUGUUAAAAAGUUAUGCUUACUAAGCUUUUAACUAGCCUAUAUGAUUAGUAUUUUGAAAACCAUAAAAGGCAUUAUCCUAUUAAAAAAAACAGUCCUAAUAUGUGUGAAGAAUUAUCUACUGACAUAAGUCACAAGUUUUGUGAGACUCUUUGGGAGAAUUUAUGAAAACUGCUUAUGACAUUUUAAAUAAGUUUUUUCAGCUUAUUGUCAUAAGUUCUCCAAAUAACUUGUAAAAACAACUUAGCAUAUAUGAAAACAACUUAACUUUAUUUUAUUGUUUUCUAUAGAAAUAGCUUAUGUAAGUUUAUACCAGUACGCUUGUGCUAUAAGUUGUUUAUCCAAUCAGGGCCUUAUUCCCAUUUCUAUGCUUUAGCAUCACUUUUUGGAACCGAAUGUAGUUUGAACAACAUUUACACUCCAUUUAUCCACACUCUUAACCUUAGCUGACCUAUUCCUUCAUGAAUAAAAACUUCAAGAGGAUAAACAGAAAAUGCAAUCCUUACUCUUGCAUUUCAGGUUGAUGCUAUCAAGGGGGGAAAGCAUGUGAACUGCAACCAAAAAAUCUAGAAGCCUUUUAUCACUGACUAGUGUAAAAUUAAGGGCAUAUUUCAAUUGAAGUUGAACUUAGGGUAACACUUUUUCCAACUUUUGCAAACUGACGAGUAAAAAAGGAGUUGCUUCUGCAAACAGAGUUUGCUAAGUAUUGUAAAAAAUGCUGCUAGUUUUCUAAACAUACACUAAAGCAUAUAUGAAAAAAAAAGGAAGUUUCACAAAGAACCCAAAAAAUUGCUUCUGUAUAUUCCCUGACACCACCAAUUUCCUUGACUGAUACAUAAUCAACAGUGUUAUCAAUUGCGGAUAAUGCAAAAUAGUGGUUUGUUCAAAUUCCACUAUGCAGCAGUGCUAUAUAGCUGCUAUUUGAUAAUACUUUGUAAUAAUUAGUGUAUCGCAGAAUAGUAGCGGUUUGUUCAAAACCCACUACGCGAUAGCACCGGUGGCCAUUACAGCUUCUAUUUAACAACAGCCAAUUAGAUGAUCAUUCAACAAUGUAAUCAACCAAAGCCAUCAUAAGAAAAAAAGAUCACACAAACUAUUAAAUAACAUAUACGUGACUAAAUACAGUUCCAGACAAGUAAAAUGAAGUAGGAACUUACUUUCAGAAAGAAGAAACCGAAGUUUGAACAAAAUACUUGGAAAAGAGCCAACAUAUUUUAUUAGUAAGUAUAGUUCUCGCUACUCUAUUUACUUUCCAAUCAUAGAGACUUGCUUGGUCUUCUAGAUUGUUUGCCAAUAUCAAUGUAUCUCCAUUUUCAGAAAAGUGCACUGACAACCCUUGAGUCUAAGACUUCUCAACUCCACAUCAUCUGCUACACGACAAAAUUGGUUAUCGCCAAAUCAUGAGAAAAACAGAGACAGUUCAUGAAAAGGGCAACAUUUGGCUCGACAAGUAGCACUUCACCAAAGUAUCAAAGGGCAGGCAACUUCCUGUGUUCCUGUUAGGAACCCGAGAAUUCUAAUAUACAAGAUUAGAGGAAUGCGUAAAACAAACUCAAAUAUAUAAAGAUAAAGAUUGCAAAGAGCUGAAGAACUUCUUAUUCAUGUAGUGAGAUUCAAAGAGAAGAUACAACAAGUUUACAAUGAAGAAGAUAACCUUGCACACAAAGCAACCCCAAAAGAGCACUCACACUUCUUUCACACUAAAUAAUUCUCUAAUCACAAUUUCAUUAUUCAAAGAUAUCUUUCCCCUAACCAAUGGAAAGCUAUCUAAAGAUUUUCUAAGAAUAACCAAAGUAACAUCUCCUAACAAACUUAUCAACUUACUAACUUUUAACUAAUAUAAUUAUCCAAUAUUAUUUAUCCUAAUACUUUCUCCAUUGCCAAACCAACAAAAAUAUCACAAAUUGCUCAACAAUAAUAAUAUUCCAAUUUCUAAUAAUACCUGAAAUUAUUGUAAAUGGCCAACCAGUUAAGAGCAUCCAUCCAAUACACACCACCAGCCACCCGGGGACAAAUAUAGUGCAACUGAAGAGACCAAGAGAAAACUAAUAAAAUUUAUCAAAGCAUUGCCACCCAAACCGAAAGCUCUCACUCCGGUUCUCACUUGACCUUUAAUGUGAACAUUGAAGUUUAGCGCCAUGGACCACCAUGUUCCAAGUGUCUGAUGAAUUAUUAUAAUCAAACAAAAACUUGAAAGAGCUAGAUAGAUGCCUGCCAAAAUGACAAGAAAGUAACAACAAAAAUUAGUUACCAAAAGUGAAGUUUUUAGAUUUUUAUAAUUAAUUUUAUGAUGACAAAGUUAAUUGAUAAAAAGUAAAAAAACUUCAAACUUUUUAAAAUAUAAGCCAGUAAUUUUCAUUUAGAUUUGUUUGGAUGGCAUGAGAAAUCAAAUUUACAAGCUCCAAAAUUCAAUGGUAAACAAGAUGGAGUUUGGCUAACUUUUUAGCAUCCUAUAAUCAACUUUGGAAUAUAUGAUACCUAGCUUCAUUCUUCUUUUUUUCAACACAACUGAAGGUUCGUACGAAAAGAGAAUGAAGAUGGAAGAGAAUGAAUUUAUUAUUUGACAUCUCUAUUGUGAUUAUCAAUUCUGGAUAGCGACGCAUCGCAACUUAGUCUUAUAAAAGCUAUUGCGAGAUGGCCGCUAUUCGGAAUUUCUUAAACAUAAUAAAUAAUUAUUACUGUAAAAAUAAAUGCUGAAAGAUUAAAACAAUACUCAAUUCAUGAAAUAUUCAUAAAUUAGAAAUAAUUAAAUUCAUAGGUCUUAUGCAAAACAUAAAUGUAAAUAACAAAAGAAAGUACAAAAAAACAAACAAGGUUAAGCAUCAGAGGUUUAAAGUAACUACCAAAGGUUUAUUAUGUAGGAGAUCCAGGGUUCGAUACCUAUUACUAACAAAUUUUUCCUUCCCUUGACAAAUUACCACUAACAUUCCAAAUUCAAAAAAUGGCUAUUAAAAUAAGGUUUUUCUUUUGGAAGCAUUUAGCAGGCCGCAAACACCUGCAAUAUUGGUCGAACAAUGGACGCUACUGCCGCCAGUGGCAGAGCUUUGUUGGGGGAAGGGAUGUACUAUACUAUUCGUGUUAUAUGAUAUAAUACACACUUUGGCGUAGUGGUCGAGGACACUUUUGACCUAUGAUGACACGGGAUCGAAUCUCGGUGAUCUUGGUUUUGCAUCUUUUUUAUUUUCCUUUUCCAAGAAUAAAUAAAUACUCCAUCAAAAUGGAAAUAUUUAGGUUUGAACUCCAAUACUUGAAGGGAAAACAAAGGGUCAUAACCACUAUGCAUAUUUCGACCCCCUCAUAUAACGAGGCCAUGCUCCCCACCGACAGCCGCUAUAGCAAACCACUCCGUUACCAACUCGCAACUGUGGCCACUCGCCACUGCUAUAGCACGCUGUUGGAUACAUAGAUCUCUAAAACUCAAAUUAUCCAAUGCUUAUUGGAAAAGGGAACUACAAAAUUUUAGAGUUUAGAAGAUAUUUUAAGAAGCUUGGAUUUGAUUCAAGUUAAAAGUGAGUUUCCAUAAGAGUAGUGUAAGAAUAAAACUUAAUGCAAUUAUAAAAUGUUGGGGCUGAUUUUCUGUUUGGAAUUGCAAAGUUGAUUGCUUACCACUUAAGUAAUUGAAAUCAACUGCAUAUAUAGGAUAAAAACUAAUAGGGUUUAAAGGCGGAAUAUCCUUUCAUCAAUAAAAUGAUGAAUUCUGUUGCACCUUCAUGUAACUACCUUAGUUAGCUAGAGUUCUAUAAAUAGAGAGAGCAAAUUUGGUAUAAUACAUUCAAGAAAAUUUUAUAAAAGAAUUUGUAACUAAUCGACCAUAGGUAUAAUGCGUAGGAGCAAAUUAUAUAAAAAGAAUAUACAUAAAAUAUCAUAUGAUCAAUCACAUAAGCAUGUAUAAAUGCUGGAACAAACAAAUCUAAAUUAGACCCGAGAAAGGAAAGUCUUUUUAUAUAGAGCUUGGGGAAAUUUGGAAUAAUGCAAUACAGAAGCUUGGUAGAAGACCAAGGAUGCUUCACCAUUCAUGUAAAAUCAAAUAGGGGCUUGUUGCUUCUCACCAUUAGAAUCUGAAUAAUUGAAAGAAUAAGUAUGGUUUUAGACAUGUAAGCAUGUUGCCUACACGGCUUAAUUUAGUAAGAAUGACUACCCAAAACUAGGGGUCGCAAACGGGCAUGUCUGCCCCGUUUAGGCCCGCCCCGCAAAAGCCCGCAAAAAAAUGGGGCGGGCGGGGCGGUCAUAGUUGAGGAUGUGGGCCUAAAAAUGAAUCCAGCUUUCUAUGUUUUUGCCCAAAUCAUAUCCUAGCAUGUAUAAAUAGAACCCUAUAUAAGCUGCACUAAAUGUGUUAAAAGGAGAAAACAUCAACAACCAAGUCUUAUAACACUAAGUGGGAUCGGCUAUACGGAUGAAACGGUGCCAUAAUGUUCUACAAUAUAUCAUAUCUCUAACCAACUAAUUAACCUCUAGAUAUUUCUUAAUAGUUUCGCUCAUAGUUUUUCUAGAUCUUCCUCUACUCAGGUGAUUUGACUACUCUCCAUUUGAUCCACCCUCUUUACUACAAAAUCUACGUCUCAACAAGCCCAAACAACCUAAGCCAAUUUCUUAAUAGUUUCGCUCAUAGUUUUUCUAGAUCUUCCUCUACUCAGGUGAUUUGACUACUCUCCAUUUGAUCCACCCUCUUUACUACAAAAUCUACGUCUCAACAAGCCCAAACAACCUAAGCCAGGUUUCCACCAACUUCUCUAUGAUAGAUGCUACCCCAAUUUUCUCUCUAAUAUCAUUUAUAACAUAGUCUUGUCUAGUAUUACCAAUGUCAUACUUCCGACACAUUAUCCACAUCUCCGCUACACUUAUUUUAUUUUUCUGUUGGUUCUUUACCGCCGAACACUCUGACUCAUACAACAUUUCCGCUUUUACAAAUAUAAGAUAAAAUUUUCCCUUCAACUUGAGCGAUACUUUUGGUAUCACAUAAAACACUUGAGACCCUACUCUAUCUCAACCACCCCACUUGAAUACGAUGGUUUACAACUUCUACUUUUUCUCUAUUUGAUACUGUGGACCCAAGGUAUUUAAACUGCGUAACUUGUAGUAUGACAUAUAAUUGUAGUAUGACAUGAUAUGAUCUCCAACUUUCAUCUCUAAGCUAGGGAUGCUUUAUUCUACUUUUUCUCUAUUUGAUACUGUGGACCCAAGGUAUUUAAACUGCGUAACUUGUAGUAUGACAUAUAAUUGUAGUAUGACAUGAUAUGAUCUCCAACUUUCAUCUCUAAGCUAGGGAUGCUUUGCCUUGUAAAAAAAUUGCAUUCCAUAUAAUCUAAUAAAGAAUCGAUAAGUCCUUUUGAAUUGGAAAAAGAAAUUGAAGAAGAAAUCAUUAAACUUCGUUUGAAGUACAAAUCAUGAUUUGUUCAUCACAAUUAUUGUUUAGUAGAGUGAAAGGAAAAUGAAGCAAUAUCUGAAAUAAUGAGCACCAUGGGAAGAAGUGUGAAUCUCUCAAUUGCUUGCUCUCAUCACUCGGGACUUUGACACCUCCUGCUGCAUCUACGUUAAACAGAAGCAAGAUAGUUUUUCUUUUCCUUGUACCGAUAGGUGUACUCAUUGUUUUAAGUUGGGCUGAAUAUAUGUACCGAUUGAGUUUUUCUGGCUACCUUGUUAGUCGCAAAACCUUUUGUUUAAUGAGUGAGUUGCUGGCAAUGAAUUUGUUGCCACUAUAUAGUUUCCCCUAAAAGGAAAUUUUGUUAAAAUGAUAUUUUGGGAUCACAGGGAAGAUGACACUUGCACUUUAAAUGGGUAAACAUGAGACACAUUAUUAAAGGAGUCACUCAUGUAAUAUUGUGGGAUUUAUUAAGUAAGCUCACAUGAGCUUACCGUAGGAUUAAUGUACACUAGUAUAGCCUUGUAACAAAAUGUUAGUUACAAUUAGAACAUAUCUAACAGAUUGUAACUAACUGACUGACAAGUGUCAGUCAGCCCUAGGUCUUACCUGCUACAGCAGGUCAUCAACAAGAUCUAUAAAUAGAUCUAAUCCAGUGUAACUAACAAUCAAUAAAAUCACAAAAUCACAAUUCAGUUUUCUCCAUUAAUUCCAAGAGAAUCAUGGCCAAUAUUCAUAACUCUAACACACAUUGUGACAAAUAAACCAAAUAAUGAGAAACAAAGAAAAGCAACAUCCGACCAUAGAUCACUAGAUCUUGAGCAACUGCAACAUUAUUCCUAAUAUACUCAAAUGAUCUUGAAAACAGUGCACUUAAAUUAUAAAAAAGAUUUGGAGACAUUCACCUGCUUCUAAACAAACAGGCAGGAGAAGAGUUGUAAAACAGAACAACUAUUAAGCAGUGAGUUGCUUCAAAUGUUUUCGAAGAAACCUAAACGAAAGACAUCAAGAGGGCCAUAAAUGUCUGGUACAAAACGAGUACUGUAACUGUAGCUCCAAAUAAGCUUCUUACUUCUUUUUCUCCCACCAUCCCAGAAUGUACCAUUAAUUAGGGUUGAAGUGCCUGAAGCUAGGAUUGUAGAUCCAUAAUUUAAAAAAUACUCUGUUAGACAUGAGAGUGAAACUGCAAAAUACAAUAAUAAAGAAACAAAAACACAAGAAACAAAAAUUGCAAAAUUCUCUAAAAUGUGCUCAUUUUUCUCAACGAAUAAUAAAGAAAUUAGCUUGACCUGACCAUGACUGCAAGCUUAUAUCAUCGGUGACACAAGGGUUGUGUAAUAAAAAAAUUGAUAGUAUAGCAAUAUCAUUAUCAUUAUAAGAUAUAAAAGUAAAAUAAUUUCCAAUACCUAAGUUAGUGUGGAAAUACUUGAUCUGAUGUGAAAAAAUUCAGAUCAAGAAGCAUACUAUAAAUUAAUUUACAACACAUUCUUAUUUAUGGACAGUUAAAACAUACCGAAAACAUAAUUCUAAACAAGGCAAUAAAUCAGUCGGUUCAAUAUAUUAUUUGUAAGAAAGUUCUGAAGUAAAUGAAAUUAAUAAUGCAAAAACUGAAUUUCCUUUUUGAAGAAACACCUUCAAGCUAAUGAUCUUUAAAAUGUUAUCUAGCUUCUUAUAAAUAAAAAAUAAAAACAAAUUCAUUUGAUUCAAAGAUUGUCAAGCCUUAAACCAUAUCAACCAAAACCAUCAAAUAGAAAAG
This 8326-nucleotide long non-coding RNA is filed under the name Lathyrus oleraceus (garden pea). RNAcentral's name for it is "Pisum sativum (pea) long non-coding RNA (PSAT_LNC011127)". Lineage: Eukaryota; Viridiplantae; Streptophyta; Magnoliopsida; Fabales; Fabaceae. The record is from RNAcentral.